This 2671-nucleotide long non-coding RNA is filed under the name Triticum aestivum (bread wheat). Its description in RNAcentral is "long non-coding RNA (TAES_LNC024056)". Lineage: Eukaryota; Viridiplantae; Streptophyta; Magnoliopsida; Poales; Poaceae. The record is from RNAcentral.
UUUCUUGGUAAUGAUUCUAAUGUUCAUGAGAAUAUGAUGCUGCCUAAAUUGGAUACAUUUGUUUUGCUUACAAAUGAAGGGCCUAGCUUUGAGAAGGAUGAACAUUGGAGCAAGAACAGGCAUGGAGAUGAUGGCAUGCGCAUGGGGAACAAGAACGGAGUUACAAGUGAUGAUUUCAGGACGUUGAAGCCACCAUAAUGCGUGCAUGAAGCCUUGGACGAAAUAUACAAGAUGCUACUUCAUAACUUUCGUCCAGAGGCUAUUCUAGGUGCUGCGUCACCUUAUUAUUGGGCCAGGCCCAUGUAAUUUCGAAAUACAUAAGUAUAGGCUGUUUUUAGAGUCCGUAUGUGUGGGGAAACAAGAGAUAGGGUUGGUUUCGGACCCCUUCCUCAAGGGCCACGAAGUUCCCCCCCCCCCUCUUCCUCCAUAUAUACAGCCCUUAGGGCGUCGUUUAGACUUUGGGUUUUGUUUAGAUUAAAAGUUCGCCAUAGCUGCAACUUCGCGUACUUCGUUUGUGUUCAGCGACCAGACAAAGGCGUCACAGAACCCCACCUUGAUCAAUAAAGCUUUCAUCUUAUAUUCGCAAUAUCCAGAUUGCAAUCUCAGUUUCUUGCCUGUUCUUCGUUUGCUCGCAGGAAACAGACCCUCGUGGUCAGGUUGAUCGUGCUCCGGCGUGGUCGAUAACCUCUCGGAGUUGGUUUAGCGAUUGCUAAGGCGCGACGUCCUCGCACGUUCGUAGUCGGAUCGUCAAAGUCGACUUCCAUCAAAACGAUAUUCAUCAUCUCAUCGAAAGACGGGACACCUUUGCCUCUAUCAAGUGGUAUCAGAUUUCCAGGUUGCUCGGUGAGAUUUUACAGUUUUUCGUAGUUUAGAUCGAGUCUGUUCUUCAUACCUACAGUCCACGAAAAAGCCACAAAAAAAAAUUAGGGUUAGUUCAUCAUAUCCGAACCAAUCUGAGCCUUUGCAUAAUCUUUUUAGGGUUUUUGCUUUGUUGAAUUUGCGGUUGCAUCGUCGUGUCAAGUUGCUGGUCUUAGAGUCUAGUCUUUUAGAGUUUCGAGUUCUGGUCAUAAGUUGUCACGCCGCCGCCGCACCAUCAUCAUCGCCUUGCCAUCUACCACCAUUGCUUAUCCGCCACCGCUUUGAAUCCGUAUCCAUAUACCACCACCGCUGCCAUAUACUACCGCCAUAUAUCCACCACCAAUCCGAGUUCUUUUCAUAGUCGGUUUGUUUUAGAGAUCCAUAUAUUUUCCGUUUCGUGUUUCCUUGCCUGAGUAGGUCUCGAAAAAAUGUAUAACAAAUUCUUUGGGCCAUAAAUAAUGUUGCCAUGUUUCUAAAGUCCGAACAAGAGCAUAUAGUUCUUUAUCAUAAGUAGAAUAAUUCAGACUAGGCCCACUCAAUUUUUCAGAAAAGUAUGCAAUAGGUUUGCCAUCUUGUAAUAACACACCUCCUAAUCCAAUUCCACUAGCAUCACAUUCAAGCUCAAAAGUCUUAUUAAAAUCAGGAAGUUGGAGUAAAGGAGCAUGUGUCAACUUAUCUUUCAAUACCGUGAAGGCUUCUUCCUGUGCGGUACCCCAAACAAAAGGCACAUCCUUCUUUGUAAGCUCGUUGAGAGGUGCAGCAAUGGUGCUAAAAUCUCUCACAAAACGCCUAUAGAAACCAGCGAGUCCAAGAAAACUCCGCACUUGUGUGACUGUUUUGGGCUGCGGCCAACUCUCAAUAGCUUCAAUCUUGGCUUUAUCAACUUCCAUUCCCUGUGGAGUAACAACAUAGCCAAGAAAAGAUACUCGGUCAGUGCAAAAGGUGCACUUCCCAAGGUUACCAAACAAACGUGCAUCACGUAGAGCAAUAAAAACAGCACGUAAAUGUUCCAAAUGUUCUUCCAAAGAUUUGCUAUAAAUCAGUAUAUCAUCAAAAUAGACUACCACAAAUCGUCCAAUGAAAGCACGUAAAACUUCGUUCAUUAGUCUCAUGAAAGUACUAGGUGCAUUAGUUAACCCAAAAGGCAUGACUAACCACUCAUAUAAACCAAACUUAGUUUUAAAUGCAGUUUUCCAUUCAUCUCCCAAUUUCAUACGAAUUUGAUGGUAUCCACUACGCAAAUCAACUUUGAAGAAUAUUGUAGAGCCACUCAAUUCAUCAAGCAUAUCAUCUAGCCGAGGAAUAGGAUGACGAUAACGAAUAGUAAUUGAUGAGGACAUCAAUACAAUUAUUACACCCACAGUCCCUGCUGCUAUACAUACUGGACCAAUUACUAGAGCUCGCGCACGCCAAUUAAAUUACCAGGUACUUUCGUUUCUUGCUAAUGAUUCUAAUGUUCAUGAGAAUAUGAUGCUGCCUAAAUUGGAUACAUUUGUUUUGCUUACAAAUGAAGGGCCUAGCUUUGAGAAGGAUGAACAUUGGAGCAAGAACAAGCAUGGAGAUGAUGGCAUGCGCAUGGGGAACAAGAACGGAGUUACAAGUGAUGAUUUCAGGACGUUGAAGCCACCAUAAUGCGUGCAUGAAGCCUUGGAUGAAAUAUACAAGAUGCUACUUCAUAACUUUCGUCCAGAGGCUAUUCUAGGUGCUGCGUCACCUUAUUAUUGGGCCAGGCCCAUGUAAUUUCGAAAUACUUGAGUAUAGGCUGUUUUUAGAGUCCGUAUGUGUGGGGAAACAAGAGAUAGGGUUGGUUUCG